UGUAAAAAUAAAGUGACACAGAUGGGAUUAAAGAAUAUCUUUUUUCGUAGAGUGCAGUAAAAAAAUUUUGAUUUAUGACUUAGGGUUAUUAACAUAGUGUUCUUCUUUUAUAAUAUAAGGUAUAUAAAGAAAAAAUACUCUUAAGCUAAGAAAAGAACGACAGCACCAACGUUUGCAUAUACCGAAAAGAUUAUUUUUACAGCUGCAUAAGAGAAGUUACUCUUUGAGUAUCGUGUAAACUGCGGUGCUGAUUACUUUUGUCUAACAACUAAAAAAGCCAGACACGUUCCUUGCAAAACAUAAAAAAACCUUUUUCUUCUACCUAACUGAAAUGGCUGGAGGUAUUAUUUAUAGUAGAGAGAGGUAGUAUAUAUUUACUUAGACCUUUUAUGAUGUCACAUUUAUUUUGUCUCGAGUGCAAGCGUUCUCAAGUUCAUUGGAAUCCCAACAUUGGACUAAUCUGGGUUAACAACUGUUCAGAAA
Danaus plexippus (monarch butterfly) is the source of this 483-nucleotide long non-coding RNA. RefSeq lists it as uncharacterized. NCBI's taxonomy places the organism in Eukaryota, Metazoa, Arthropoda, Insecta, Lepidoptera, Nymphalidae. The record is from RefSeq and is a predicted model, not a curated record. The transcript is spliced from 2 exons.